GCCAGGUGUGUUGGCACACACCUGUAAUCCCAGCUACUUAGGAGGCUGAGGCAGGAGAAUCACUUGAACCCAGGAGGCGGAGGUUGCAGUGAACCAAGAUCAUACCACUGCACUCCAGCUUGGGUGACAGAGUGAGACUCCGUCUCAA
This 148-nucleotide non-coding RNA is filed under the name Chlorocebus sabaeus (green monkey). Lineage: Eukaryota; Metazoa; Chordata; Mammalia; Primates; Cercopithecidae. The record is from Rfam by way of RNAcentral.